GAGAGCUUUGUGCCGGAGAAGUCUGGCAUUGACUAUCCUAUCAACAGCCUUGAUACUGAAACCAUUAUGAAAUGCCAGUGAUAAGAAUACACAACAACCAACGACUCACAGGCUUGUUAUGGUUUCCAUUGUGGAAUAUACAAAAUCAAUCCCAUACGAGCUUGGGACAGAUACAGGCAAAAGAGGAGCAGCUUCUCUGCUAAGAUUUGAUAGUGACUGGAGCGAUGACCAGGAUGGAGAUCAGUGAUGGAUGACAGACUGAAGAACACAACUGGAGAAGGAGGGCUUGUAGUAGGAGAUAUAUCAGAAAACUAAGGAAUCUGUUGAAAACGGUGAUGUUUCCAAAAGACACCAUGAGUACUGAAGGCUCAGAACUACCACAGGUAAGAAAAUCAGCUUCUCUUAAGUAUUUAUGUCUCACUUAAGUAAUUCUUGGCACCUAUCACUAUAAUG
This 453-nucleotide long non-coding RNA is filed under the name Aquila chrysaetos chrysaetos. RNAcentral's name for it is "lncRNA (ENSACCG00020001400.1)". Lineage: Eukaryota; Metazoa; Chordata; Aves; Accipitriformes; Accipitridae. The record is from RNAcentral.